This 446-nucleotide ribosomal RNA is filed under the name uncultured bacterium. RNAcentral describes it as "bacterial SSU rRNA". It matches the Rfam family "Bacterial small subunit ribosomal RNA", at positions 217 to 662 of the family's 1533-position model. The record is from RNAcentral.
GGUAUGGGAUGAGCUUGCGUCCGAUUAGCUAGUUGGCGGGGCAACGGCCCACCAAGGCGACGAUCGGUAGCCGGCCUGAGAGGGUGAUCGGCCACAUUGGGACUGAGAUACGGCCCAGACUCCUACGGGAGGCAGCAGUAGGGAAUAUUGCACAAUGGGGGAAACCCUGAUGCAGCAACGCCACGUGUGGGAAGAAGCAUUUCGGUGUGUAAACCACUGUCAUGAGGGAAUAAGGCCCGCCUUCGGACGGGAUUGAAUGUACCUUGAGAGGAAGCACCGGCAAACUUCGUGCCAGCAGCCGCGGUAAUACGAGGGGUGCAAGCGUUGUUCGGAAUUACUGGGCGUAAAGGGAGCGUAGGCGGAGAUUCAAGCGGAUUGUACAAUCCCGGGGCCCAACCCCGGCUCUGUAGUCCGAACUGGAUCUCUUGGAUAGUUCAGGGGCAGGC